AGUGAACGCUGGCGGUAGGCCUAACACAUGCAAGUCGAACGGCGGCACAGUAAGAGCUUGCUCUUACGGGUGGCGAGUGGCGGACGGGUGAGGAAUACAUCGGAAUCUACUUUUUCGUGGGGGAUAACGUAGGGAAACUUACGCUAAUACCGCAUACGACCUACGGGUGAAAGCAGGGGAUCUUCGGACCUUGCGCGAUUGAAUGAGCCGAUGUCGGAUUAGCUAGUUGGCGGGGUAAAGGCCCACCAAGGCGACGAUCCGUAGCUGGUCUGAGAGGAUGAUCAGCCACACUGGAACUGAGACACGGUCCAGACUCCUACGGGAGGCAGCAGUGGGGAAUAUUGGAUAAUGGGCGAAAGCCUGAUCCAGCCAUACCGCGUGGGUGAAGAAGGCCUUCGGGUUGUAAAGCCCUUUUGUUGGGAAAGAAAAGCAGCAGGUUAAUACCCCGCUGUUCUGACGGUACCCAAAGAAUAAGCACCGGCUAACUUCGUG
This 492-nucleotide ribosomal RNA is filed under the name uncultured bacterium. Its description in RNAcentral is "partial 16S ribosomal RNA". It matches the Rfam family "Bacterial small subunit ribosomal RNA", at positions 29 to 507 of the family's 1533-position model. The record is from RNAcentral.